ACAUUUUCGAAGAUCGGCAAGCAACUGGCUGUUGUUUGACAAACGCAUGCGUACAUAGUCUGUUUGACAAAUCCAAUGACGAGGUCAAAUCGGGCGUCAAUUUCUCUCGAAUACAAAUCUGUCGAACGACACAGUAUGCUUACAAAUAGUUUGACACACACGUGAAAUUUGACAAAUUGUCUGAUGGUUUACAUGGACGUAAAAUACAGGCGACUUUGUUCUGUAUUAUAACCCAAGCCACCGACCAAGGCAAAGAUAUAAGGCAACGUAAAUCAGCUUAUUAUUUAGUAAUUCUAUGGCUUAGAAACAGAUUAUUAAAUAUCCUACCCACAGUGCCUGGGAAGUGGGAACUGUGUAUGACGUGAAGUUUGUGUAUCUUGUUUGUAUGUGUGCAACAAUGUUUCGAUUUAAAUUCAGAAGUGACGGUGGAAUUAUUUUGAGACUGUUAAACAGCAGAAAGUUGUCAGUGUUUUCAAGAAAGGAUGGAUGUGGAUCAUGGCAGUGUACGUGUUGUGUUACAAAUUUCCAGUCAAACAAAACUCACUUUAUGUGUAUACAUCCUUCCAUGAAAUUAAUUGACCGGCACAUGUCAGUGCAACCGUUAGGGAAAGUGGAAGCAAAGAUUUUUCUAUCGUUUACUUGCAAGAAAUGCAAUACCAGAAACGCGAAAACAAUAUCGAAAGUUGCAUAUGAGAAAGGAGUCGUGAUAGUACGCUGUGAGGGCUGUAACAGUAAUCAUUUGAUUGCAGACAAUCUAGGUUGGUUUCCCGAUUUAGAAGGUAAAAAAAAUGUAGAGGAAAUACUUGCAGCCAAGGGUGAAAAGGUUAUGAAAAUUGACAGCGACUCAUUUGAAGUUGUGGUGAAAGAAGUAGAAAAAGAGUGCAGCCAGCUUAUGGAAAAGGAAAGAACCGAUAUGUAGUUGUGAACAUCAGAAUUAUUUGAAAUACUUGCACCAGUGACCAACAUUUCAGAGUUUGAUGCCACAGUAAUACAUCUCUCGUUGCCGAUGCUCCAUUAUGGAUGGAUAAGUGCAAUGUGGACUGUUUUUGAUGAAGGCAUCUGUGUGCGGAGUUUGUAUCAGAUUCAGUUUACACUGGUAUGAAAUGAAUUCUCAAAGAAUGAGUCAUAAAGCUACUGAUAAUAUGUUGGGGUCAAUUUUAUUGUGUGCUAGCUAUGUUGUUACAGUGACUUAUAAAAAUUAAAAUGCAUUAAAAUUGUUAUAGUUGAUGUGAAAUACUAUAUUUUAAGCUGUGCAUAUUAUUGAUUGGCUUCAUUUUGAUAACUUAUAAUAGCAACCGAGGAAUGGCAAAGUAUGAUUGAAAUAACGGUUUUCUGUAACUGCGUAUCUAGAUUGAUCCUUUCUUGAACUGCAAGACAGCCUUUGUCAUGGGUGCAUCAUAUUUCAUUGUCUUCAGCUGACGUCUCUGUAUUGUAUUAUCUGUUGUAUAAAAACAUGAUCUAUUUCAUUGUUGAAAAGUACUUUAGAUGUUUUAUUAUUUGUACUUUCAUAUAACCAUUAUUAUUGUUGUUUUAUAUUUUAUGGGCGUUCUUGUCAAGCGUAAACUAAAUGUAGUUCUUAUAGGUCAUUGCUAUUUGAGAGGAUUUCAAAUUUCUGGUCUACUGUGCAAUCUGAUACUAUAUAGAGGGACCAAAUGACAGUCAGACUAUGAACAAAUUUUUCAGGUGGUCUGCUUAUGUGUGAAAUUCAUCAUUUGGACUAAAGCACAAAAUAUAGUUCAUUGUGCUAUUAUUUUUA
Schistocerca gregaria is the source of this 1756-nucleotide long non-coding RNA. RefSeq lists it as uncharacterized. NCBI's taxonomy places the organism in Eukaryota, Metazoa, Arthropoda, Insecta, Orthoptera, Acrididae. The transcript has 2 exons. The record is from RefSeq and is a predicted model, not a curated record.